GAUGAACGCUGGCGGCGUGCCUAACACAUGCAAGUCGAACGAAGCUUGACGGAUGAUUUCUUCGGAAUGAAACCAGGUAUGACUUAGUGGCGGACGGGUGAGUAACACGUGAGCAACCUGCCUUUCAGAGGGGGAUAACGGCUGGAAACGGUCGCUAAUACCGCAUGAUGUGUUCGGAUGGCAUCAUCUGAACAUCAAAGAUUUAUCGCUGAAAGAUGGGCUCGCGUCUGAUUAGAUAGUUGGUGGGGUAACGGCCUACCAAGUCUACGAUCAGUAGCCGGACUGAGAGGUUGAACGGCCACAUUGGGACUGAGAUACGGCCCAGACUCCUACGGGAGGCAGCAGUGGGGAAUAUUGCACAAUGGGGGAAACCCUGAUGCAGCAACGCCGCGUGAAGGAUGACGGUUUUCGGAUUGUAAACUUCUUUUCUUAGUGACGAAGACAGUGACGGUAGCUAAGGAAUAAGCAUCGGCUAACUACGUG
Molecule: ribosomal RNA, 483 nt
Filed under: uncultured bacterium
Lineage: Bacteria
Description: partial 16S ribosomal RNA
Rfam family: Bacterial small subunit ribosomal RNA
Source: RNAcentral